GACGAACGCUGGCGGCGUGCCUAAUACAUGCAAGUCGAGCGCAGGAAGCCGUCUGAACCCUUCGGGGGGACGACGGUGGAAUGAGCGGCGGACGGGUGAGUAACACGUAAAGAACCUACCCAUAGGUCUGGGAUAACCACGAGAAAUCGGGGCUAAUACCGGAUGUGUCAUCGGACCGCACGGUCCGCUGAUGAAAGGCGCUCCGGCGUCGCCCAUGGAUGGCUUUGCGGUGCAUUAGCUAGUUGGUGGGGUAACGGCCCACCAAGGCGACGAUGCAUAGCCGACCUGAGAGGGUGAUCGGCCACACUGGGACUGAGACACGGCCCAGACUCCUACGGGAGGCAGCAGUAGGGAAUCUUCCACAAUGGACGAAAGUCUGAUGGAGCAACGCCGCGUGAACGAUGAAGGCUUUCGGGUCGUAAAGUUCUGUUGUAAGGGAAGAACAAGUGCCGCAGGCAAUGGCGGCACCUUGACGGUACCUUGCGAGAAAGCCACGGCUAACUACGUGCCAGCCGCCGCGGUAA
This 524-nucleotide ribosomal RNA is filed under the name uncultured bacterium. Its description in RNAcentral is "partial 16S ribosomal RNA". It matches the Rfam family "Bacterial small subunit ribosomal RNA", at positions 28 to 523 of the family's 1533-position model. The record is from RNAcentral.